Molecule: ribosomal RNA, 90 nt
Filed under: Bacillus thuringiensis
Lineage: Bacteria; Bacillati; Bacillota; Bacilli; Caryophanales; Bacillaceae
Also listed under: 1 other name
Source: RNAcentral
UGAAGUGAUGAUGGCAAAGAGGUCACACCCGUUCCCAUACCGAACACGGAAGUUAAGCUCUUUAGCGCCGAUGGUAGUUGGGGGCUUCCC